UGUCAGAUUCACAGACCUCGCUCCCUAAA
This 29-nucleotide non-coding RNA is filed under the name Mus musculus (house mouse). The record is from RNAcentral. Lineage: Eukaryota; Metazoa; Chordata; Mammalia; Rodentia; Muridae.